AGAGUUUGAUCAUGGCUCAGAGUGAACGCUGGCGGCAUGCCUAACACAUGCAAGUCGAACGGUAACAGGCCCGCAAGGGUGCUGACGAGUGGCGGACGGGUGAGGAAUACAUCGGAAUUUGCCCAGUCGUGGGGGGAUAACGUAGGGAAACUUACGCUAAUACCGCAUACGACCUAACGGUGAAAGCGGGGGAUCGCAAGACCUCGCGCGAGUGGAUGAGCCGAUGUCGGAUUAGCUAGUUGGCGGGGUAAAGGCCCACCAAGGCGACGAUCCGUAGCUGGUCUGAGAGGAUGAUCAGCCACACUGGGACUGAGACACGGCCCAGACUCCUACGGGAGGCAGCAGUGGGGAAUAUUGGACAAUGGGGGCAACCCUGAUCCAGCAAUGCCGCGUGUGUGAAGAAGGCCUUCGGGUUGUAAAGCACUUUUAUCCGGAACGAAACGCGCAGGGUGAAUAUCCUUGCGAACUGACGGUACCGGAGGAAUAAGCACCGGCUAACUUCGUGCCAGCAGCCGCGGUAAUACGAAGGGUGCAAGCGUUACUCGGAAUUACUGGGCGUAAAGGGUGCGUAGGUGGUUGUUUAAGUCUGUUGUGAAAGCCCCGGGCUCAACCUGGGAAUGGCAAUGGAUACUGGACAGCUAGAGUGCGGUAGAGGGUAGUGGAAUUCCCGGUGUAGCAGUGAAAUGCGUAGAGAUCGGGAGGAACACCAGUGGCGAAGGCGGCUACCUGGACCAGCACUGACACUGAAGCACGAAAGCGUGGGGAGCAAACAGGAUUAGAUACCCUAGUAGUCC
Molecule: ribosomal RNA, 794 nt
Filed under: uncultured bacterium
Lineage: Bacteria
Description: bacterial SSU rRNA
Rfam family: Bacterial small subunit ribosomal RNA
Source: RNAcentral